This 341-nucleotide ribosomal RNA is filed under the name Malacolimax tenellus. RNAcentral's name for it is "partial 16S ribosomal RNA". Lineage: Eukaryota; Metazoa; Mollusca; Gastropoda; Stylommatophora; Limacidae. The record is from RNAcentral.
AGGUAGCAUAAUAAAUUGACUUUUAAUUGGGGCCUUGAAUGAAAGGUAAUAUGGAUAAUUACUGUCUUAAUUUUAUUUAUAAAAAUUUUCUUAAAAGGUGAAAAUUCCUUUAAAAUGCUUUAAAAGACGAGAAGACCCUAGGAGUUUUAAUAUUAAAUAUAUUUUGUUGGGGCGACACUACAACAUAUAAACUUGUAGAAAUAUUAAAAUAACUAAAACGAAUCUUUUUAAUCUUAUUUAAGCUACCCUAGGGAUAACAGCAUAAUUUAAUUUUAAGUUUGUGACCUCGAUGUUGGACUAGGGACUUUUAGUAUUAACAAUAUUAAAAUUUUGUUCUGUUC